AUUGAACGCUGGCGGCAGGCUUAACACAUGCAAGUCGAGCGGGGGAAGGUAGCUUGCUACCGGACCUAGCGGCGGACGGGUGAGUAAUGCUUAGGAAUCUGCCUAUUAGUGGGGGACAACAUCUCGAAAGGGAUGCUAAUACCGCAUACGUCCUACGGGAGAAAGCAGGGGAUCUUCGGACCUUGAGCUAAUAGAUGAGCCUAAGUCGGAUUAGCUAGUUGGUGGGGUAAAGGCCUACCAAGGCGACGAUCUGUAGCGGGUCUGAGAGGAUGGUCCGCCACACUGGGACUGAGACACGGCCCAGACUCCUACGGGAGGCAGCAGUGGGGAAUAUUGGACAAUGGGGGGAACCCUGAUCCAGCCAUGCCGCGUGUGUGAAGAAGGCCUUAUGGUUGUAAAGCACUUUAAGCGAGGAGGAGGCUACUUUAGUUAAUACCUAGGGAUAGUGGACGUUACUCGCAGAAUAAGCACCGGCUAACUCUGUGCCAGCCGCCGCAGUAA
RNAcentral lists this ribosomal RNA (501 nucleotides) under uncultured bacterium. Its description in RNAcentral is "partial 16S ribosomal RNA". It matches the Rfam family "Bacterial small subunit ribosomal RNA", at positions 30 to 523 of the family's 1533-position model. The record is from RNAcentral.